This 460-nucleotide ribosomal RNA is filed under the name uncultured bacterium. RNAcentral describes it as "partial 16S ribosomal RNA". It matches the Rfam family "Bacterial small subunit ribosomal RNA", at positions 338 to 795 of the family's 1533-position model. The record is from RNAcentral.
CCUACGGGAGGCAGCAGUGAGGAAUAUUGGUCAAUGGGCGCAAGCCUGAACCAGCCAAGUCGCGUGAGGGAAGACGGUCCUAUGGAUCGUAAACCUCUUUUGCCGGGGAGCAAAGCGCGGUACGAGUACCGGCCAGGAGAGUACCCGAAGAAAAAGCAUCGGCUAACUCCGUGCCAGCAGCCGCGGUAAUACGGAGGAUGCGAGCGUUAUCCGGAUUUAUUGGGUUUAAAGGGUGCGUAGGCGGGUGUGUAAGUCAGCGGUAAAAAUGCGGUGCUCAACGCCGUAUGGCCGUUGAAACUGGAGGCCUUGAGUGAGCGAGAAGUAGGCGGAAUGCGUGGUGUAGCGGUGAAAUGCAUAGAUAUCACGCAGAACUCCGAUUGCGAAGGCAGCAUACCGGCGCUCAACUGACGCUGAGGCACGAAAGCGUGGGGAUCGAACAGGAUUAGAUACCCGGGUAGUC